GCCGCGGCCGCCCGAACCCCCAUGGAUGCUGGGCGCGCGGAAGACAUUUCCCGCCGUGAAGCGCAGGGAGCCGCUGCCCGGGCCCCCGAGGGACGAGGUGGUGGCCAACUGGCGAUUUCCUGAAAUCCAUGAUGGGGAAUCUGAGCCUGAAGGAAGCAAAUAACUUGCCCAUGAGACAUGUAGCGCCUGCCACCCAGAGACAGAAAUGGGGUGGAAUCCCUCCCUCCGUGUGAGCAUCUGGAAGGAGGGUAUCAGGCUGAAUCCCGGAGCCUCAGACAUGGACGAAUGGCUGAACUGCCAGGCUCUCCGGAGGUUCUCAUGGCCGGAGUGAAGAGCUUGGAUCAUAGGGGAAGGAACCCUCGUCUCCACACACAGCCCCCAGCCCCGCUCUUCACCCCUCUUCAUCCCGCUCAACAAUUCCACCUUUUCUUCAUCGCCUGGGAAGGCCGGGCCCCCUGCCAGACACUGCCUGUGCCUCACCCCAGUUCCUGUCCACAAGGACCUCACCCCUCCUCAGAAAUGUCUCCAUGGUUCCUUAGGUCAGAGCGGUCACUCAGUCACAGGACCGAGGCCCUAAGCCCUUCUGAGAUGCUGUUAGGGAGAUGGGCCAGUCACUUCCCGUCAACGUGCCUCAGUUUCCCCCGUGAAAUCUCAGUCCUCCUUUCUACAUAUCAUCACCUGGGUCCCCUGUGGCUAAAGGAAGGCCUCUGAAACCAGUCCCCAACAAACUGCCUUCCAGCCACCAACUUAUAGCCAGGAGCAGGGGACAGGAAACCGCCUACACACACCCCUAACCCACCAGCAAGAGCCCUGAGCCACUCAGGAAGGCCAGCCUGAGGCUGUUUAAACUAGUGAAUCAGACCUGUAAGUGGGUCUGGGGUGCCCAAAGGUGAAAAGAAGACGGGUGUGACCCAAGGCAGGCCCUGAAAGCAGGGUGUGGUGGGCCUUCACAAAGGUUGUAGCCGCCAGGGCUGGGCUGAGGUGAGUCACUCUUUAUUUGACCCAGAGAAGGAGGCCUGCUCUUCAUGGGCCAGAUGGUUGCUAGGAACACCAAGCCCGAGCUGGAAUCUCUGUUCUUCUGGCUUGAUAGGAGGCUUUGGGAAGGAGCUUUGUGUUAGGAAACAAAAGAAUAGGACCAAAGCCCCCCACCCCCAAAUAUUAAGGGGUUGUGAGCUCCCAAAACUCCAGAGGAGCUUAGAGUGUCCCGUGCGAGCCCCAGGGCCAUAAUCAUAACAACUGACUGAGGGGAGUACAGCCUACAUCUUUUCAGGUCUGAUUGGAUCCUCACAGCAGCCCAGCCCAUUUUACAGAGGAGAAAACAGAGGCUCCAAGAGGGGCAAUGACUUGGCAGGUCCACAGCCAGCUGUGUCAGAGCCUGGCUUCCAGCCUCUCACCCCUCAGCCCGGCGGCCGGGGCUCUGGGGUGGGACAGGGGCUCCGCUCUCCCUUCCAACGAAGCCGCAGCUCCAGAACAACUCCUUUGGGUCCCAUUUCCAAAAUCUUAUACCAACCCCAAGGGCAGUAAACCCCAGGCUGAAAUGCAAGGGGGGUCAGGAAGAAUCCCCUUCCCCUGCUCCCCAGCCAGAACAGUGCCCAACACCUUCCACCCUGAGCUGCAUGGCUUUGGACCAGUUCUCUGGUACAUCAAGAACUCAGGAGCUAACAACCUGGAUGGACCGCUGUCCCCAGAGAUGUAACUGAGGGGUCAAGCUGCUGUUCCCAUUCAGUAACGAACUGCCCACAGCCCUGAGUCUCUGAUCGGCCCCUGGCUGCUGGA
Herpailurus yagouaroundi (jaguarundi) is the source of this 1776-nucleotide long non-coding RNA. RefSeq lists it as uncharacterized. NCBI's taxonomy places the organism in Eukaryota, Metazoa, Chordata, Mammalia, Carnivora, Felidae. The transcript is spliced from 2 exons. The record is from RefSeq and is a predicted model, not a curated record.